Long non-coding RNA from Triticum urartu, 1140 nucleotides. RefSeq lists it as uncharacterized. The record is from RefSeq and is a predicted model, not a curated record. NCBI's taxonomy places the organism in Eukaryota, Viridiplantae, Streptophyta, Magnoliopsida, Poales, Poaceae.
CUCGCCCCUGUCCCAAGCGGUGCCGCCGCCAGACCAAAACUUUCCUCUCUCUCAGAUCUCAUCUCCCCUCGUUCCGACCUUCCGCUCCUCGCCCUGGAUCACCCAGCUCCGCCGCUCCGGGCCCGCCCCACUGCGCCGCUCCCAGGCCAGCCCCGCUCGGCCGCUCCCCUGCCCACCCCAUUCCGCCGCUCCACUUCUAUUUCCCCUUCUCUACCGCAUUGGUGACCUAGUCACACCAUGGUUGGGAAGGGCGUGGUGGCCCUGGCCAUGCCGGCUGGCUGACGGCAUCGUGCCACUAGCGGCGACUCCAUCUGCGAUGCCCUCAACUCGUGCUGCCGCCCUUGACCGUGGUAAAUGGUGUCGCCCCCGCUGAUUGGACGACGACCGGAUCUGCGUGCUGUUGUACGCCACUGCUACCAUCCAUAAGAAUCACACAUUACAGGAUGACAAUUGGAAGAAAAGCAUAUCGACUUUCUCUAGCCAUCAAACAUGUGCCUGCUGCUCGGAACACUAUGAUGGAUAUGUAAGAGUUUCAGAUCUUCCUCCUGCUAUUCCAAAUAAUGAAGACCGACCUGCUGGGAAGAUACUUUGGCAACUAACCAAGGAGUGCCUAUUGCAGAAAUACCACCGCCGCCAGUUCCACCUUCUCAUUCACUUUCUCCUCCUGGAUCUCCACAACGAUCUACUAUCCAAAUUCUAGAAAAUAGCGAAGAACCACCAGCUUUGUGUGCUCAACAAGAAAUAAAUCCUAGCUCUCUUCACGAAGGCAGGAACAUGGUGUUGCCUCAAGUGUUCGUGUUGCAGACGAUGAAGGGAUGUUUGGGGGAUUCUUUUUCAGUCAGUCAUUAUUGAGCAACCAGUUGGGUUCUUGAUGUUAACAUGGUGGUACAUGUUUUGGUGUAACAUUUUGGUGCAUGUAUAGUUAACAUGCUGGUACAUGUUUUGUGAUGUAGAAAACUCUAGUUGACCUACAUCAGUAUAUAUGUGCUAAUUAAGAUGUUUACUCAGUUAGAUGUAGCAAACUCUGGCCAGCGUGCCUAUUUUUUGUCAAACAUUUGAUGGCUGGUGAUGUCUUGGCAUCUAUUGUAUGCAUUGACGAUUGAUACUAUCUUUAUAUUUGAUGUUAUUUUCAUUUCAUAA